AUCAUCUUUUCUUCUUUGUUGCUCUCUCUGCGACUGAGAGCGAAGCAGCUCUGCGAAUUGUCUUGGUGGGAAAAGAUCGCCGCCGGUGGUGUCUCGGGACUGUGAUGAAGAAGCCGAUGGAUGGAGAUCCCAUUGUUCGAUUCCAACAUAAUUAAGUCUUAAUUGUCUUGGCCGGAGAAGCAAAAUCAGCGGAAUCCGAGAGCGAUGGAGGAUAGGAAUAGGAUCAAAGCAAAGACGACGAGCCCUUCUUCGUGGUCUCUUCUUCUUUGGGUUUUUUUUAGACAAGAUUGCAAAACCAUGAUCGAGACGUGUAUGUAUGUCUGAAGCCAGAACUAAGGGGGGAGAUUGCAAAACCAUCAUCGAGAUUGCUUUUUUUCUAGGGUUCUUGCUUCCUCCUCAUUCCUCAACCACCAAUUCAUCAAUUCCUCUUCUCUCCUCCACGCUAAGCGACGAAGUAGAUUCAGAACACGGUCGUCGGCGUUCCUACCGUAACAGCAUCCGUCGAUCUGUUUUUGAAGAUUGAACCAUUCCAUACCUUUUUCUACCCUAGAUGCCGAGGAGCUCUCUGGUUCUCAUCCUGCUCAAGUACUACGGAGCUUUGGUGUGUGUGUGUCUCUCUUUACUUCUCAGAUUUUAUGUGCAGGUAAAGUGGAUUGGAUCUUCCACGCUUUUUGGAUCCUCUGAUUGGAGAGAACCUUUCGUAUGUUGUCAUGUUUUAUACAGAUACCUUUUUGUAUGGAGAUAUCUCGACAAAGGCUGCGCAUAUGCUCGCCUUACUUAAGGUAACGAUUGUUACACCAUUUAGUUUUCCGCUGGAGAUUCCACAUUGGGUGUCUGCUACUCUGUAUUUCCUUCCUCAAUCCUCACCCACCAAUUCAACUCAUCUCUCUCUCUCUUCUCCUCCCCCACGCGACGAAGUAAAUUCAGAACACGGUCGCUAUGCUAGGGUUUGGAGAAUUGUCGAAGAAGAUUCAGAACAAACACUAAGAAGAACUACUUCCCCCGUACAAUUUUUUAUCCCAUUACCUUUUGGUACCCUAAAUGCCGACGAGCCAGCUCUCUUGUGCUCAUCCUGCUCCUCAUGAAGCACUACAGAGCUCUCUGGUGUGUGUGUCUUUACUUGUCAGACUUUGAAUUUUGUAAUUUGGGAAAGUGGAUUUGGAUCUAACACGCUCUUGGAUUGGUGAUUGGUGAAGAUAUCCUAACUGCUAUGGCUACAGAGAUCUCUGGUCUUUGCAGGGAAAAUUGGAUUGGAUCCUCUCAAUGGAGAGACCUUUCAAUAAUAAAGUAGGUGAAAACAACAAUUCUCAGGUACGUAGUGGACAGCAAGGUACGGUAUUAAUUAUUCUUCACACUGAAUAUAGUCUCUUCCUAAUUGUAUUGGUUCCAUCUGUUUGAAGUAAUACGAUGUUUACUUGGCUAGGUAAGCAUUGUAAUGGAGCAAAUGAUGUGACCGCUCCAUUAUUUUAAAUUUGCUUUUGUUCCUUUUUUUGUUUUGAUCUCUGUUGGCUGGUUUUGUAAGAUCUUUCUUUGGGUUAUUUUGUCUUCUUUGUGAUGUUCUGUGUUCAGUGAGCUAUGGAGUUGGGUGGAAUCGAAGACUUUUAGCAAUGGAAGAUACACAAGGAGCCAAGUGAAGAGCCGAGAUGUUUGUUCAGUUGACUGGUGGACCUUCAAAUUAGUAUUCUUUUGGCGGUUUUGCUAACAGGCGAGUCUCCCAGGUGUUAGAAGGUAUGCUCAGUCUAUUAGUGACCAAGCCGUUGGGAUGGGAGUCAUUCCUGGAGUCUAACCAGAUCAGCAACUGGUCAAGAUUUUGGAGGAGAAAGUAUAUGGCUACACAUCCUUGUACUCUGAGCUGCAUUCACCGGGCUACCAGCAUUUCAGCUUUCCCUCUCUAUGCGAGACGAGAGGUAUGGAGCUGGUUGAAAUCGAAGAUUGUUGGCCAUGGAAGAUACAUUACAGAAGGAGCCAAGUGAAGUGCCGAGAUGUUUGUUCAGUUUACUGGUGGACUCGAGUAGGCUGCUUGCAGAGAAAACUCAAAGAUAAAGGCUUGUUCAGUCUGUUAGUGACCAAGCCGUUGGGAUGGGAGUCAUUCGUGGAGGUGGAAUCAUACCAGAUCAGCAUUUCGUGAAGAUUGUACUUGAUGAGCUAGUGAAGAUGAUACGCGGAGGAGAAGUAUCUGAGCCUACACUUCCUUGUACUCAGAGCUGCAUUCACCGGGGUACCAGCAAUUCAGCUCCUCUCUCUCCUCCACGUACCGAGACAAGAGCUAUGGAGUUCGGUUAAAUCGAAGACUGUUUGCAAUGGAAGAUGCACAAGGAGCCAAGUGAAGAGCCGAGAUCUCUGUUCAGUUGGCCGGUGGACUCGAGGCUACUGCUUAAAUUAGGAUUCUCUUGGCGGUUAGUCUCCCAGGUGUUAGAAGGUGUUAGUGACCAAGCCGUUGGGAUGGGAGUCAUUCGUGGAGUCAAGACCAGAUCAGCAGUUGGUCAAGAUUGUACUUGAUGAGCUAGUCAAACUGAUUAGCGGAGGACAAGUAUCCAAGCUACACUUCCUUGUACUCAGAGCUGCAUUCACCGGGAUACCAGAAAUUCAGCUCCUCACUCUCCUACACGCGAGACGAGAGCUAUGGAUUUGGGUGAGAUCGAACUGUUGUUGGCCAUGGAAGAUACACUUCAGAAGGAGCCAAGUGAAGAGCCGAGAUGUUUCUCCAGUUGACUGGUGGAAUCGAGGAGGCUGCUUACAGAGCAAACUCAAAGGCCAAGAUGCCGAGAAUCUAUCUGGUGCUCAUCCUGCUCAAGUUUCUUUCGGAUGCUUGCCAUGAUCUCCCUUUGAUGGCUGCUGCGGUAGUGUUUUUAGCACUUGGGAUAAAGAAACAGAGUAUCGACAGGGUAUCAAAGAAGGUUGGUAUGAUGGAGGUAGCAUUGCAAUUCCAGUGAGUCUAUAGCAUGACUGGAGAGAGCAAAAUCGUGUGUUUUUCUUUCCUAUCAUAAUAAAAAUUGUUGAGUUGACUUUCAAGAGGUGGUGGUGCUGCUUUGAGUUUCAAGGAGGUAUCGGGGAAACCGAUUAAACUGGUAAGAUGUGGGGAGCGAAUGGAGGAUCUUGAACCCUUUUAUCCUGAUCGAAUGUGGCUGAACGAAUUCUAUGAAUGGCAACAGAAGCUGUAAGUUCCGAAUGGGAGAUGUGCUUUUGUAGAGAAAGCAACAGAAGCUACAAAAGGAAAGCAUAAGUCUAUGCACUUAUAUUUUCUGGCAUUUAUACUUGGUUCUCUUUUUGCUGCUGUAUGCUGAUGAAGCCACGGUUGGAGUCCAUCCGGGAGGAAAUGCAAAACAAGGCUGUUGAGUUGGUGUAGUCUCCUGACAUUUUGAGUUAUUUUGGUUGAUAUGUCCAAAUAACCAUAUGAUUCGAAAUAUGGCAGAGAAUGUACCUUCAUUCCAAACAGGAGGAGCAUUAUGGUUUACCGAUCGAACAACUCCCGACAGCUUAUACAUCUUGAUCUUAACGGUUAUAACAGGAUUGACAUUCUUGAUAACCGUUGAGUGUAAUGCACAAAAAGGAAUGGAAGGGAAUCCGAUGGCUGGCACAAUAAUAAAAAAAAUGUUUUCCGGGGGUUUGCUCACCUUACGGUGCCCAUGACAAUGAGUUUGAAGUUAUUUAGGGUUUGUUCUUAAUAGUGUGGAUUUAGUAGCUAUGUGACAUAUUUAACAUAUCAUGAAGUUAUUUUUAAAUGCAACAAACCAACCUUUUUGAAUAUUUUUCAACAAGUAAGACUUUUUUUUAUUCAA
Non-coding RNA from Camelina sativa (false flax), 3779 nucleotides. NCBI's taxonomy places the organism in Eukaryota, Viridiplantae, Streptophyta, Magnoliopsida, Brassicales, Brassicaceae. The record is from RefSeq and is a predicted model, not a curated record.